Molecule: long non-coding RNA, 899 nt
Organism: Brachypodium distachyon (stiff brome)
Lineage: Eukaryota; Viridiplantae; Streptophyta; Magnoliopsida; Poales; Poaceae
Exons: 4
Source: RefSeq, a predicted model, not a curated record
AUAAGGGGGGUUGCCACCUGGCCUCCCAGCAUUCCCUUGGCUGAGAUUUUCUUUUUUGCCUUCUGUCCAGGCUUGUGGACAGGACAACAGCACAUCUCACAGGAGAAAAAAAAGGCUUGUGGACAUCACAGGUUAACAAUACAGAUGGGCUUUGGAUAGGGGAGGAUUUCUGGGACUAUCUCCUCAUAAUAUCCAUCACCACCCCAACCCACCACCCUCUGAAUUAAAUACCCACUUAAAAGAACUUAAAGGAUCCAGUUAACAGACAUACUUUGGCAGUUAACAGUCGGCACGAUAAUAAGAGGCCAAAGUGAGUGAAUUUCAAUAAGGUAACACAUUUGAUCUGCCAAAAAGGGAGCAGAGUGUGUCUGCCAACACUAUAUUGAAACUGAAGUCAGUAAGCUCUAUCCAGUUCAGAGGCAGAUGUGCUUGUUUUACAUAACAGUUGGGCAUUCUUAAGAUAAGCACCCGCUCUCAUUUACCUGAUAAACAAAAGUGAGAACUGGGUGUCCACCAGUUGGCUAGAGGCGCACACUCAUGGUGUCUGACAAGCCUCGUCACCCGCUUUGAAGACAUGAGCCUCCUAAUUUCCUCUUAGAAACUCUUACGGAUGAUGUAACUGUGUUUGAAAAUGAAUAAAAAGGGCUGCCUAAUGGUUGUCUCUCCUUACAGGAAAAGGCCACAGGGGCUAGUCCCUGCUUAAAAAAAAUUAUGUUUCUGAAUACAACAGAUUAACACAAAAACAUUAUGGAAGUGUGUGCCGACGUGUGGUUAGCGCUAUAAAACUUUCACCAGUAAUAUAUGAGGAAGUAUAUCGAGUGGACAUGUAAAAAUAAUGUAAUAUAAUAUCAUUUGUAUGUAUUACAAUAUAUUUUUAUGUCAUAUAUGUCAUUUUACUA